GAUGAACGCUGGCGGCGUGCCUAAUACAUGCAAGUCGAGCGAACGGACGAGAAGCUUGCUUCUCUGAUGUUAGCGGCGGACGGGUGAGUAACACGUGGAUAACCUACCUAUAAGACUGGGAUAACUUCGGGAAACCGUAGCUAAUACCGGAUAAUAUUUUGAACCGCAUGGUUCAAAAGUUAAAGACGGUCUUGCUGUCACUUAUAGAUUGAUCCGCGCUGCAUUAGCUAGUUGGUAAGGUAACGGCUUACCAAGGCAACGAUGCAUAGCCGACCUGAGCGGGUGAUCCGCCACACGGGAACUGAGACACGGUCCAGACUCCUACGGGAGGCAGCAGUAGGGAAUCUUCCGCGAUGGGCGAAAGCCUGACGGAGCAACGCCGCGUGAGUGAUGAAGGUCUUCGGAUCGUAAAACUCUGUUAUUAGGGAAGAAGAUAUGUGUAAGUACCUGUGCACAUCUUGACGGUACCUAAUCAGAAAGCCACGGCUAACUACGUG
RNAcentral lists this ribosomal RNA (497 nucleotides) under uncultured bacterium. RNAcentral describes it as "partial 16S ribosomal RNA". It matches the Rfam family "Bacterial small subunit ribosomal RNA", at positions 28 to 507 of the family's 1533-position model. The record is from RNAcentral.